RNAcentral lists this ribosomal RNA (432 nucleotides) under uncultured bacterium. RNAcentral describes it as "bacterial SSU rRNA". It matches the Rfam family "Bacterial small subunit ribosomal RNA", at positions 90 to 508 of the family's 1533-position model. The record is from RNAcentral.
UUUCAGCGGCGCAAGGGUGCGUAACACGUGGGCAAUCUGCCGAGAAGUGGGGGAUAGCUCGCCGAAAGGCGAAUUAAUACCGCAUACCACCAGGGGUGACAUCACUCCGACGUGAAAGCCGGGUCAAACUGGCGCUUCUUGAUGGGCCCGCGGCCUAUCAGCUAGUUGGCGAGGUAACGGCUCACCAAGGCAUUGACGGGUAGCUGGUCUCAGAGGACGACCAGCCACACUGGAACUGAGACACGGUCCAGACACCUACGGGUGGCAGCAGUCGAGAAUUUUUCUCAAUGGGGGAAACCCUGAAGGAGCGACGCCGCGUGGAGGAUGAAGGUCUUCGGAUUGUAAACUCCUGUCAUUUGAGAACAAGGGAUCGGGGAGUCACUGCCCCGGUUUUGAUAGUAUCAGAAGAGGAAGAGACGGCUAACUCUGUGC